GACGAACGCUGGCGGCGUGCCUAAUACAUGCAAGUAGGACGCACAGUUUAUACCGUAGCUUGCUACACCAUAAACUGUGAGUUGCGAACGCGUGAGUAACGCGUAGGUAACCUGCCUGGUAGCGGGGGAUAACUAUUGGAAACGAUAGCUAAUACCGCAUAAUAUUGAUUAUUGCAUGAUAAUUGAUUGAAAGAUGCUAUUGCAUCACUACCAGAUGGACCUGCGUUGUAUUAGCUAGUAGGUGAGGUAACGGCUCACCUAGGCGACGAUACAUAGCCGACCUGAGAGGGUGAUCGGCCACACUGGGACUGAGACACGGCCCAGACUCCUACGGGGGGCAGCAGUAGGGAAUCUUCGGCAAUGGACGAAAGUCUGACCGAGCAACGCCGCGUGAGUGAAGAAGGUUUUCGGAUCGUAAAGCUCUGUUGUAAGAGAAGAACGGGUGUGAGAGUGGAAAGUUCACACUGUGACGGUAUCUUACCAGAAAGGGACGGCUAACUACGUG
RNAcentral lists this ribosomal RNA (505 nucleotides) under uncultured bacterium. RNAcentral describes it as "partial 16S ribosomal RNA". It matches the Rfam family "Bacterial small subunit ribosomal RNA", at positions 28 to 507 of the family's 1533-position model. The record is from RNAcentral.